CACGUAGGGUGCGAGCGUUGUCCGGAAUUAUUGGGCGUAAAGAGCUCGUAGGCGGUGUGUCGCGUCGGCCGUGAAAGCCCCGAGCUUAACUUGGGAACUGCGCUCGAAACUACUUGGCUAGAGUGUGGCAGAGGGAGGUGGAAUUCCACGUGUAGCGGUGAAAUGCGUAGAGAUGUGGAGGAACACCGAUGGCGAAGGCAGCCUCCUGGGCCAACACUGACGCUCAUGCACGAAAGCGUGGGGAGCAAACAGG
This 253-nucleotide ribosomal RNA is filed under the name uncultured bacterium. RNAcentral's name for it is "partial 16S ribosomal RNA". It matches the Rfam family "Bacterial small subunit ribosomal RNA", at positions 524 to 776 of the family's 1533-position model. The record is from RNAcentral.